AAUCAACGCUGGCGGCGUACCUCAGACAUGCAAGUCGAACGAUUAAAGCUCUCUUCGGAGAGUGUAUAAAGUGGCGCACGGGUGAGUAACACGUAAGUAAUCUACCUUCGAGUGGGGAAUAACGUCCGGAACGGACGCUAAUACCGCAUAAUGCAGCGGCAUCGCAAGAUGACAGUUGUUAAAGAUUUAUCGCUUGAGAGGAGCUUGCGGCAGAUAGCUAGUUGGUAAGGUAAUGGCUUACCAAGGCUACGAUCUGUAACCGGUCUAAGAGGACGGUCGGUCACACUGACACUGAAUAACGGGUCAGACUCCUACGGGGAGGCAGCAGUCGGGAAUUUUGGGCAAUGGGCGAAAGCCUGACCCAGCAACGCCGCGUGAAGGAUGAAGUAUUUCGGUA
Molecule: ribosomal RNA, 397 nt
Filed under: uncultured bacterium
Lineage: Bacteria
Description: bacterial SSU rRNA
Rfam family: Bacterial small subunit ribosomal RNA
Source: RNAcentral